CCUUCAAUAGCUCAGCUGGUAGAGUGGAGGACUGUAGAUCCUUAGGUUGCUGGUUCAACUCUAGCUUGAAGGA
This 73-nucleotide transfer RNA is filed under the name Taeniopygia guttata (zebra finch). RNAcentral describes it as "tRNA-Tyr (GTA) (tRNA-Tyr-GTA-7-1)". It matches the Rfam family "tRNA". Rfam says of the family: Transfer RNA (tRNA) molecules are approximately 80 nucleotides in length. Their secondary structure includes four short double-helical elements and three loops (D, anti-codon, and T loops). Lineage: Eukaryota; Metazoa; Chordata; Aves; Passeriformes; Estrildidae. The record is from RNAcentral.